This 497-nucleotide ribosomal RNA is filed under the name uncultured bacterium. RNAcentral describes it as "partial 16S ribosomal RNA". It matches the Rfam family "Bacterial small subunit ribosomal RNA", at positions 28 to 507 of the family's 1533-position model. The record is from RNAcentral.
GAUGAACGCUGGCGGCGUGCCUAAUACAUGCAAGUCGAGCGAACGGACGAGAAGCUUGCUUUUCUGAUGUUAGCGGCGGACGGGUGAGUAACACGUGGAUAACCUACCUAUAAGACUGGGAUAACGUCGGGAAACCGGAGCUAAUACCGGAUAAUAUUUUGAACCGCAUGGUUCAUAAGUGAAAGACGGUCUUGCUGUCACUUAUAGAUGGAUCCGCGCUGCAUUAGCUAGUUGGUAAGGUAACGGCUUACCAAGGCAACGAUGCAUAGCCGACCUGAGAGGGUGAACGGCCACACUGGAACUGAGACCCGGUCCAGACUCCUACGGGAGGCAGCAGUAGGGAAUCUUCCGCAAUGGGCGAAAGCCUGACGGAGCAACGCCGCGUGAGUGAUGAAGGUCUUCGGAUCGUAAAACUCUGUUAUUAGGGAAGAACAUAUGUGUAAGUAACUGUGCACAUCUUGACGGUACCUAAUCAGAAAGCCACGGCUAACUACGUG